GGCUUGCAAUCUUGGAUCAAAAACACCAUAGAUUGUGAUGCCCUUGUUUAAAACCAUGAUUUUAAUACAGUAUUGAUUUGAAAAAUCUUUUUCAUAACUUUGAAAACUGCUCCAUGAAUUUAGAAAAAGCAAUGUUUAUAAAAAUUUAACCUCUAACUAAUCAUGACAAAAACGGAAAAAUUGAUCCUUCCUCUUCGCCGGA
This 202-nucleotide long non-coding RNA is filed under the name Elaeis guineensis (African oil palm). Its description in RNAcentral is "long non-coding RNA (EGUI_LNC022363)". Lineage: Eukaryota; Viridiplantae; Streptophyta; Magnoliopsida; Arecales; Arecaceae. The record is from RNAcentral.